UCUAGUAUAAGCAUUAUACCGCGAAACUGCGAAUGGCUCAUUAUAUAAGUUAUCGUUUAUUUGAUAGCACAUCACUACAUGGAUAACUGUGGUAAUUCUAGAGCUAAUACAUGCUAAAAAUCCCGACUUCGGAAGGGAUGUAUUUAUUAGAUUAAAAGCCAACGCCCUUCGGGGCUUCCUGGUGAUUCAUAAUAACUUUUCGAAUCGCAUGGCCUUGCGCCGGCGAUGGUUCAUUCAAAUUUCUUCCCUAUCAACUUUCGAUGCGAAGGUCUUGUCUUCGCAUGGUUGCAACGGGUAACGGAGGGUUAGGGCUCGACCCCGGAGAAGGAGCCUGAGAAACGGCUACUACAUCCAAGGAAGGCAGCAGGCGCGCAAAUUACCCAAUCCCGACACGGGGAGGUAGUGACAAUAAAUACUGAUACAGGGCUCUUUUGGGUCUUGUAAUCGGAAUGAGUACAAUUUAAAUCUCUUAACGAGGAACAAUUGGAGGGCAAGUCUGGUGCCAGCAGCCGCGGUAAUUCCAGCUCCAAUAGCGUAUAUUAAAGUUGUUGUGGUUAAAAAGCUCGUAGUUGAACCUUGGGCCUGGCUGGCCGGUCCCCCUCACCGGGUGCACUGAUCCAGCCGGGCCUUUCCCUCUGUGGAACCCCAUGGCCUUCACUGGCUGUGGUGGGGAAACAGGACUUUUACUUUGAAAAAAUUAGAGUGCUCCAGGCAGGCCUAUGCUCGAAUACAUUAGCAUGGAAUAAUAGAAUAGGACGUGUGGUUCUAUUUUGUUGGUUUCUAGGACCGCCGUAAUGAUUAAUAGGGACAGUCGGGGGCAUCAGUAUUCAAUUGUCAGAGGUGAAAUUCUUGGAUCUAUUGAAGACUAACUACUGCGAAAGCAUUUGCCAAGGAUGUUUUCAUUGAUAAGGAACGAAAGUUAGGGGAUCGAAGACGAUCAGAUACCGUCGUAGUCUUAACUAUAAACUAUGCCGACUAGGGAUCGGACGAUGUUAUUCUUUGACGCGUUCGGCACCUUUCGAGAA
RNAcentral lists this ribosomal RNA (1025 nucleotides) under Parascedosporium putredinis. RNAcentral's name for it is "SSU rRNA". It matches the Rfam family "Eukaryotic small subunit ribosomal RNA", at positions 59 to 1096 of the family's 1831-position model. Lineage: Eukaryota; Fungi; Ascomycota; Sordariomycetes; Microascales; Microascaceae. The record is from RNAcentral.